GACGAACGCUGGCGGCGUGCUUAACACAUGCAAGUCGAACGGAAAGGCCCUGCGUUUGUGGGGUGCUCGAGUGGCGAACGGGGGAGUAACACGUGAGUAACCUGCCCUUGACUUUGGGAUAACUUCAGGAAACUGGGGCGAAUACCGGAUAGGAGCUCCUGCUGCAUGGUGGGGGUUGGAAAGUUUCGGCGGUUGGGGAUGGACUCGCGGCUUAUCAGCUGGUUGGUGGGGUAGUGGCUUACCAAGGCUUUGACGGGUAGCCGGCCUGAGAGGGUGACCGGCCACAUUGGGACUGCGAUACGGCCCAGACUCCUACGGGAGGCAGCAGUGGGGAAUAUUGCACAAUGGGCGGAAGCCUGAUGCGGCAACGCCGCGUGCGGGAUGACGGCCUUCGGGUUGUAAACCGCUUUCGCCUGUGACGAAGCGUGAGUGACGGUAAUGGGUAAAGAAGCACCGGCUAACUACGUG
Molecule: ribosomal RNA, 468 nt
Filed under: uncultured bacterium
Lineage: Bacteria
Description: partial 16S ribosomal RNA
Rfam family: Bacterial small subunit ribosomal RNA
Source: RNAcentral